GGAGGGUUGCCCGAGUGGCCAAAGGGAGCAGACUGUAAAUCUGCCGGCUAUGCCUUCGUUGGUUCGAAUCCAACACCCUCCA
Non-coding RNA from Myxococcales bacterium 68-20, 82 nucleotides. The record is from Rfam. NCBI's taxonomy places the organism in Bacteria, Pseudomonadati, Myxococcota, Myxococcia, Myxococcales.